RNAcentral lists this ribosomal RNA (292 nucleotides) under uncultured bacterium. RNAcentral describes it as "partial 16S ribosomal RNA". It matches the Rfam family "Archaeal small subunit ribosomal RNA", at positions 455 to 747 of the family's 1478-position model. The record is from RNAcentral.
GUGCCAGCCGCCGCGGUAAUACCGGCAGCUCAAGUGAUGUCCCAUAUUAUUGGGCCUAAAGCGUCCGUAGCUGGCCGCGCAAGUCCGUCGGGAAAUCCACCUGCCCGACAGGUGGGCGUCCGGCGGAAACUGUGUGGCUUGGAACCGGAAGGCUCAGAGAGUACGUCCGGGGUAGGAGUGAAAUCCCGUAAUCCCGGACGGACUACCGAUGGCGAAAGCACUCUGAGAAGACGGACCCGACAGUGAGGGACGAAAGCUGGGAUCUCCAACCGGAUUAGAAACCCCAUAGUCC